CACGGACCAAGGAGUCUAACAUGUACGCGAGUCAUUGGGACCGAGCGAUACCUAAAGGCGUAAUGAAAGUGAAGGUCGUCCCUGGUUGUCGACCGAGGGAGGAUGGGCCGCGUCGCGAUGCGGCUCCGCACUCCCGGGGCGUCUCGUUCUCAUCGCGAGAAGAGGCGCACCCAGAGCGUACACGUUGGGACCCGAAAGAUGGUGAACUAUGCCUGGUCAGGACGAAGUCAGGGGAAACCCUGAUGGAGGUCCGUAGCGAUUCUGACGUGCAAAUCGAUCGUCGGAACUGGGUAUAGGGGCGAAAGACUAAUCGAACCAUCUAGUAGCUGGUUCCCUCCGAAGUUUCCCUCAGGAUAGCUGGCACUCGGCCGUUCCGCACGGAACGCGCGCGAGUCUCAUCUGGUAAAGCGAAUGAUUAGAGGCCUUGGGGCCGAAACGACCUCAACCUAUUCUCAAACUUUAAAUGGGUGAGAUCUCUGGCUUUCUUGAACUAUGAAGCCACGAGCAUCUCGGAUCAGAGUGCCAAGUGGGCCAUUUUUGGUAAGCAGA
This 549-nucleotide ribosomal RNA is filed under the name Vombisidris sp. Its description in RNAcentral is "partial large subunit ribosomal RNA". It matches the Rfam family "Eukaryotic large subunit ribosomal RNA", at positions 660 to 1148 of the family's 3401-position model. Lineage: Eukaryota; Metazoa; Arthropoda; Insecta; Hymenoptera; Formicidae. The record is from RNAcentral.